This 253-nucleotide ribosomal RNA is filed under the name uncultured bacterium. RNAcentral describes it as "partial 16S ribosomal RNA". It matches the Rfam family "Bacterial small subunit ribosomal RNA", at positions 524 to 776 of the family's 1533-position model. The record is from RNAcentral.
UACGUAGGGUGCAAGCGUUGUCCGGAAUUAUUGGGCGUAAAGAGCUCGUAGGCGGCUUGUCGCGUCGGCUGUGAAAACCUGGGGCUCAACCCCGGGCCUGUAGCCGAUACGGGCAAGCUAGAAUUCGGUAGGGGAGACUGGAAUUCCUGGUGUAGCGGUGAAAUGCGCAGAUAUCAGGAGGAACACCGGUGGCGAAGGCGGGUCUCUGGGUAGUAACUGACGCUGAGGAACGAAAGCGUGGGUAGCGAACAGG